UACAGCCAUAUCAUAUUGGAACACUGGUUCCUGUAUGAUCACUGAAGUUAAGCAACAUCAAGCCUGGUCAGUACCUAGAUGAGUGACCGCUUGCGAAUAUCAGGUGCUGUAAGC
Molecule: ribosomal RNA, 114 nt
Filed under: Acanthosepion pharaonis
Lineage: Eukaryota; Metazoa; Mollusca; Cephalopoda; Sepiida; Sepiidae
Source: RNAcentral